UUUAAAAAUAAUAAUAAUCAACUGUUAUUAAAUAUUCUAGUGUUUCUAAAAAUUAAAGUACUUCAUGAUGGAGAUCCAUUGGUCCAAUAUGCAUCCAUCCACCGCCGUCCAGCAUACUAAUUUCUACCUGAAAAUUGUAAAUAGAGAGGGAUGAGUAUAACGAAUUAUACUCAAUGAGGUGCUUGCUACUCCACAUUCAAAUCAAACGUGAAAUUAUGCAUAAAUUCUCUUACCAACAUAACAUGAGAAUUAUCACACCAUGACAAAUGAUAAUUCAAGCAAGCGCUGCAAAUAACGUGAAGGCUAAAUUGUGCCUUAAACUGUAUCAUGAUUUCUCCCAAAGGAGCUCUGAACUGAAGUAAUUAAAUCCAUACAUAACAACGUAUUUGAAAAGAUGUGGACAAACCACUAAUAGCACUGAGCAUCUCACCUUUUGAAGAUGAACGUGGAAAACAAAAUUGCUGAAAACGUGAUUCUUUAUUGAAAUUCCAAAUCCUUAAAAAGCCUUAAUAAUAUGGAGAAAUAUUUUUAAAGAGGAGGAGAGAAUAAAGACUUGCAGAAGAAGAAUGAUGAAUUAAUGACUGAAUGCUUGAGGCUUAGUGCUAUAUUUAUACUAAACCACGGUGUAGGGUAAUCACGUGGGGAGUGGA
RNAcentral lists this long non-coding RNA (650 nucleotides) under Olea europaea (common olive). RNAcentral describes it as "long non-coding RNA (OEUR_LNC009720)". Lineage: Eukaryota; Viridiplantae; Streptophyta; Magnoliopsida; Lamiales; Oleaceae. The record is from RNAcentral.